GACACAUCAUAACCCAAGGAAAAUAUCAAAACACGGAACGGUAACAUUCAACUCCUAAUUUAUCCUAAACAACCCUAGUUCCUCCAGCUGCCGCCAUCAGAAGCACCGCUCCUUGAGUAUCGGGAACCACCAUCACCGCCAUAUCCACCGUCACGGCUGUAACCGCCUUCACGGCGGCCACCAUAUCCACCACCGCCACCUCCGUAUCCGCGGCUCCCACCGUAUCCACCACCACCACCACCACUUUCACGGCGUCCACCACCUCCAUAUCCGCCACCGCCGCGGCUUCCGUAACCACCACCGCCACCGCCACCGCUUCCCCGGGACUGGGCCUCGUUGACUGUGAUGUUACGGCCGUCGAGAUUCUGGCCGUUCAUGCCUUCGAUCGCGUCCCUCAUCGACUUCUCAUCGCGGAAGGUAACGAAUCCAAAUCCUCUGGAUCUUCCAGUCUCGCGAUCGUUAAUA
This 465-nucleotide long non-coding RNA is filed under the name Citrus maxima (pomelo). Its description in RNAcentral is "long non-coding RNA (CMAX_LNC003339)". The record is from RNAcentral. Lineage: Eukaryota; Viridiplantae; Streptophyta; Magnoliopsida; Sapindales; Rutaceae.